AGCGAACGCUGGCGGCAGGCCUAACACAUGCAAGUCGAACGAACCUUUCGGGGUUAGUGGCGGACGGGUGAGUAACACGUGGGAACGUGCCUUUAGGUUCGGAAUAACUCAGGGAAACUUGUGCUAAUACCGAAUGUGCCCUUCGGGGGCAAGAUUUAUCGCCUUUAGAGCGGCCCGCGUCUGAUUAGCUAGUUGGUUGAGGUAAUGGCUCACCAAGGCGACGAUCAGUAGCGGGUCUGAGAGGAUGAUCAGCCACAUUGGGACUGAGACACGGCCCAAACUCCUACGGGAGGCAGCAGUGGGGAAUCUUGCGCAAUGGGCGAAAGCCUGACGCAGCCAGGCCGCGUGAAUGAUGAAGGUCUUAGGAUUGUAAAAUUCUUUCACCGGGGACGAUAAUGACGGUACCCGGAGAAGAAGCCCCGGCUAACUUCGUG
Molecule: ribosomal RNA, 434 nt
Filed under: uncultured bacterium
Lineage: Bacteria
Description: partial 16S ribosomal RNA
Rfam family: Bacterial small subunit ribosomal RNA
Source: RNAcentral